GUACAUAAACUUUUAAAAUUCCCUUUUCCUUUACAGUUUUUUUAGCGAACUCCAAUUUUCAAACCCUAAUUCCCAAUUUUCAAUUUUGAAAUUUGAUCUUUCUUAACCUCACUGGCUCUGCAAUCCUAGCUUCACCGCCGACCUUUUUACUCCUCAACAAUGUCGUUUCAUCGCACAUAUAGAAAACCUUAUCUGAUGAAGAUGACUCAAGCUAUAACAGGGGUAGGGGAGAAGUUUAAGGAGGUCCAACGCCCCCCAGCAUGGAGUAGCUCCGACCCCAAGCCCACCAAUUCUAAACCCUAUUUCUUCGACUCUAAAGUGGAUCCCAGAAAUUUGGUAUUUUGAUCUCUUUACAGAAUGCGAGAAACGUAAGAAACAAUGAGAAGAAAAUGAAAUUGGUGCACUACUUGGCGUAUUUGAGCAAUUGACAGGUUACAAGAACAACAUUGAUAAGUUUAAGGUUAAGAUGCAGGAAAUUUUAAGUUGGAUGAAGGGUACGAGUACAAUGCAAGUUAUCUCAUAGGUUCUAACUUAUUUUACGCUGCUAUAUACUUAAUAGAAUAAAUAUUAUAAUUUCUCUAAUAGGUACAAAUAUAUUUGUUAUUACUAAUGUCAUGACUAUUGGUAUACUAUGCUCUAAUUUAUCUUACUAUGAAUCAUCGUUAUACUAUGUCAUUUGUAUACUAUGAUCAUUGGUAUACUAUGAUUAUAUCCUUGAUAAACUUGCAAUUAAAGCUCCAAGUUAUACUCAAUAGUCGAUGACCAAUUCGGCAAAUUAACACAUACAACUUGCAAACAAUCUUGCAAGUAGAACUAAACUUCAAGAUAUCAUAAUAUAAAUGAAAUUAAGGGUUCAAGAGAAAGGAAAUGCAGUGAAGGGUACACCAUUAGCUCUACCAGGAGCUCAUCUGGUUUGGACGAGUUAAGUUAUGUUCUUUUCUUUCAUGUUUAUUUUGUUUUAUUUAUAUUAUCUGCAUGUUGCAUCCAAAAUUUAAAAAUAAAAUUAUUUGGAUGUGCAGAGAUUUGCAGAGAUAUGCAGUUUACAUUGUUUUAUAUACAUUUACAUUUUUAUAUAUAUGUUCUUUAUAGCAGUGCUUUUCAAUUUAUUGAAUCCUUAUUAUUAGUGUAUAUAAUAUAUAUUUAUAUUCUGUAUAUAUCUUUUCUUUUAUAGCAAUACUUUUCAUUUUAAAAUAUUUUUUUCAAUUGUUUCAAGCUUUGGCUAUAGACCCUCCUUGAAAGACUAAAAUGCAUCUCCAUCUUGGAAAGUCAAUAUAGUAAAGUCGUCACUCUUGCAGGAUGCAGAAUAUUGAAGUACUCAAAGACUUAUAUGAAAAUCAUUACUUCAGAUGAUGAAUUUGUAAAUUAUUUGAGUAUUUUUCCAAUGUGUACAACAAUAUAAAUUUGAAAAACAGAUUAUAUCCGUUUGUGGAAUUAUUAUUUUCAUUUUAAUAAUAUUUGUUUGAUGGAUUGUCUACU
Molecule: long non-coding RNA, 1476 nt
Organism: Cannabis sativa
Lineage: Eukaryota; Viridiplantae; Streptophyta; Magnoliopsida; Rosales; Cannabaceae
Exons: 4
Source: RefSeq, a predicted model, not a curated record